UUCCGGUUGAUCCUGCCAGAGGUCACUGCUAUCGAGGUUCGACUAAGCCAUGCGAGUCGAAUGUAGCAAUACAUGGCGUACUGCUCAGUAACACGUGGACAACCUGCCCUUAGGACGGGUAUAAACCCGGGAAACUGGGUAUAAUUCCCGAUAGGUCUCGUCUGCUGGAAUGCAUCGAGAUCCAAAGCUCCGGCGCCUAAGGAUGGGUCUGCGGCCUAUCAGGUAGUAGUGGGUGUAGCGUACCUACUAGCCUACAACGGGUACGGGUUGUGAGAGCAAGAGCCCGGAGAUGGAUUCUGAGACACUAAUCCAGGCCCUACGGGGUGCAGCAGGCGCGAAAACUUUACAAUGCUGGGAACAGCGAUAAGGGAACCUCGAGUGCCAGGUUACAAAUCUGGCUGUCGUGAUGCCUAAAAAGCAUUAUAUAGCAAGGGCCGGGCAAGACCGGUGCCAGCCGCCGCGGUAACACCGGCGGCUCGAGUGGUAACCGUUAUUAUUGGGUCUAAAGGGUCUGUAGCCGGCCGGAUAAGUCUCUUGGGAAAUCUGGCAGCUUAACUGUCAGGCUUUCAGGGGAUACUGUCUGGCUCGAGGCCGGGAGAGGUGAGAGGUACUUCAGGGGUAGGGGUGAAAUCUUGUAAUCCUUGAAGGACCACCAGUGGCGAAGGCGUCUCACCAGAACGGACCUGACGGCAAGGGACGAAAGCUAGGGGCACGAACCGGAUUAGAUACCCGGGUAGUCCUAGCCGUAAACGAUACUCGCUAGGUGUCGGCCACGGUGCGACCGUUGUCGGUGCCGUAGGGAAGCCGUGAAGCGAGCCACCUGGGAAGUACGGCCGCAAGGCUGAAACUUAAAGGAAUUGGCGGGAA
RNAcentral lists this ribosomal RNA (867 nucleotides) under uncultured archaeon. RNAcentral describes it as "bacterial SSU rRNA". It matches the Rfam family "Archaeal small subunit ribosomal RNA", at positions 1 to 874 of the family's 1478-position model. The record is from RNAcentral.